Molecule: long non-coding RNA, 3194 nt
Organism: Bombus terrestris (buff-tailed bumblebee)
Lineage: Eukaryota; Metazoa; Arthropoda; Insecta; Hymenoptera; Apidae
Exons: 4
Source: RefSeq, a predicted model, not a curated record
GACUGGCGAACAAAGGAGUUGAUCCUUGAUGCAAUGCUUUCCUGCCACCUUGUUUAAGAACGAGUAUUUGCAUGGACUCGAGACGUGGCAAAUCGGAAUUGCGUCGAAUUCAUUGUGAAUGCGCAUUUAAGCUAGAAGUCUCGGAACAUAACGAACGACACUGGAUGGACCGUAUACUAACAUGUGAACGAAAACUUGGGAAACGAGAAAGAAAGGAAAGAAAGGAAGAGUGGGAAGUAGGCAAAAAGAAAUAGGUUUGAAGAGAGAAACGGCGGUGGGGUAGUGGAAGUUGUCAUUACGCAAAUUUAAGGCUGGAAUAUAACAGACGCGAGAAAUUUUACGCUUUCUGCUGCUUGGGAGUUCGCUCGUAAAAAAGGAGCCUGUAUUAAAACACAUUAAGUCCACCUGCUGGUAGUUUUACUCGUAUCUACGUACGAUGUUUUACUACUCAUGGUAAAAAUUUAAUAAGUUCAUGCAAAUGAGGCCCUUAUGUAAAUCUGGAAGAUUUCAUGGCGGUCCAGAACCGAGGAUCGCGGUACAUAUUUUUCGGCUGUUCCUUAUUACUAUGGAAAAUUUCAACGUUGUAACUAGAACUUGCGAAGCGAACAAAAGAAAAAUUUGAUUCUGCGCGCGUGAUCAAACUCUUGCUCACUAAUUUUAGGCAUUCGUAAAUAAAAUUGAUAGAUUAAUGUCGGCAUCCCUGGAUAAUAAUUAUUAUCGCUUUUGUUGUUAUUCCUGACUUUAUAAGCAAAAUUUACUACUUCAAAAAUUCAUAUGUUUUUAAUACAAAGUUUAUAUUACAUAUUUUCUACGAUUAUCACGAAAGGCUCGUUUUAUUGCUUCACGCAACAGUUCAUAAAUCUAUUUAUAUGUGAAAACGUUUAAACAUUGCGGUAUAUAUAAGAAGCACAAUAUUGCUAUGAGAAUCAAUCAGGUAGCAAUAUGAAUCAAUUGGUGAGACUUUUUGUCUUCCUUUUCGCUAUUAUUCUCAUGUCAGAUUACUUCAUUACGCUGGCUGACGCUAAGUGCGUCUGUAAAAAUGGGCGCCCGGCUCCUGGUUAUAUACACCCGAUUUGUAUAAGAGUCUGUAUGAUCCAAGGAUAAAUAUAUAUGACGAUAUGGCACAUCACUGUUAUAAAUUUUUCUUGUGUGAUUGGGCAGUAUUAGAAAAUAGAGCAUAUUUAAAGCAUACUAAAUUCGUUCAAAUAUUCAUUUCCCUGAGCCUGCAAUAAGAAAAUGCAAUAUAUAACAAUGGAUUCCGCACAAUUUGUUUAAUGAUCUCCUUGACCAGAAAAAAAAUCAGUAGCAGUUUAAAGUACAUCGAAACUUUCGUCUAUCGAGUCCGAACGAUUCUCUUUUCGAAUCUAACUUCUCGAACUUUUCAUUUUCCCGUAAUAUUCAAUUCCCCUGUCGAAGAGGAGUCUUCGUUGAAGAAAAAAUAUCAGACCUCGGCACAUUCCAUCAGAAUCACUGUGGAAACCAAGAUUUUCUUUGGAACGCGUAUUCUCUUAUUCGUUCGGGUGAAAACGCCAAAGGAAAUAGGAAAGUUGUAUCUUAUGGCGAAGGAGGAAGGGAAAAAGGAGGGGAGGACAUGAAGUAAGAAUGGGAAGGGGAAAAAUAAAGAAAGAAACUGCUUUUCAACGCGAGAGAGCGACAGGAUAAAGAGAGGAAUGGUGUAAGAGGGAAAUGAAGAGAAGGAAAGGAAAAAGAACGACUAAGGGGGUAACUUUAUCUGCGCUAGCAGAAGCGGCCCUCGAGUUCGAUUUUGCGCUGCUCACUAAGUUACCUGAUCUGCUCUCCAUUGUCUUGUGAUAACUUUGUGAUACCUGGCUAAGGAUUUCCUUAGAUACGCCGUCUCCGGCUUGUUCCCUGAACGAGAAGAAAGACGAAGCAUAGGGCUUAAGUCGUGAAACUUUCCCAACAAGCCGAACUCCCUCCACCCCGGUCGAGGGUGUUGCAAAAGUCGUAUAUCCGCGAAAUGAUCCCGUGCGCGGUACUUUCACGUGACUCUUGCUACUUCAACGAGGAAACAGCAUUCCUUUUCGUUUAUGUACUUUACGAUAUGAUCGCGUAUUCGCAACUACGUAAACACGUGUUCCAAAGGGUACAAUAUGAUUAUCGACCGAGUUUACACGAAAUGUUAUCUGGCAGAUAAAAUGAAGUCAAGUGGAACGUUCGGCAUUGCAUUAUUGUUAUUGUCUUUUGAUCUUUACGUUUUAUUGUUCUGCGCGAUUAAUUAUCAUUAUGGGAGGAUAAUGGAACGGAAAUACCAGGAUUCACCAGUUGGAUACCUCUGGAUUUAUAUAUAAAUAAGCUUUACGGCAACACCUUGCUCAUUUUAAAUUAGCACAAUGUUUGACUAAGACGGCAAUUAAUUUAAAUUUAUCUUUGUUCAGAAAAUUGAUUAUUUGAUCCGUUCGUGUUUCAUUGCCUUUUAUGCGGGAACAGUGAUGGCGAAGACUGAACAAAAGGAAAAUUAACUCUCAAAUAUUCCCGAUCACUUUUAUGUUAUUCAAAAUGUAUCGCUUUCGGGACACAACGCGAUGCGUAUUUAUACGCGACGAUAUUAAUCUUCCUUUAGUAAAUCCUUUGUUUUCUGAAACACGUUUACGUUUCGAAAUCAAAGUGAAAAAAAAUAAAAGCAAAGCAGAUAAUAUUUGUCACAUUUUACGAAUCGCUAUGCUGGCAUUUCUUUUACUGCACCUAGCAACGUAAAAGCUUAUUGACGGUUCAGGCACCUUUUUGCUUAAUGAAACAGAAAAUAGUUUAAGUAUUUAAGUUGUAAAUUAUCAAAAGGAAUUAGAAAUCCUAUCGUACCUAAAAAUUAGUUACAAUUACUUAAUCAUAUCUUCAUCGGCCACUAUAAUUUUUAAAAUUUUACUGUUGAAAAUUUCGAAUUCUUGUCUUCGUUUCUUUAUUUUAUUCUUUGGCAAUUUAACAUCACAUCAACAAAGUUAUCUGUUCUGGUUGUAAAAUGAUUAGAUUUUAUGGUGAAGAUUAAGAAUUUAAGAAUAGUUUUAUAUGGUCUUGAUAGAUUAAGGUAGUAUUCGUCAUUGUAAUUUUCAUACGUAAAUGAUACUGUAUAUACCUACACUUAUACACAAGGUGGUGAAUCGUUAGGUAUAGAUUUGUGACAACAAUUGUAAUAAAAGAGUUCUUACCUUCUUUAAUAAAUAUUCAUGUGUGAUUUUGGA